GUAAUGUCCCAAAUAUGUGAAAGCAGCAGGGUUUUGUGGGUUGAGCUUGGCUGCUAUGAGAAAAUGUUGUGCGGCUUUCUCCUUAAUAUCUGGCAAUUCUCCUCCCUUGUCCCAUAAUAAGACUCCGAGAUCAAAAUGGAGAGAAGGGUCGCCGGGCUGGGAGACAACCGCUUCUUCUAACCGUCUUAUAGCAGCAUCGUCUUCUACACUCAUUUCAGCUUCUGAACCA
RNAcentral lists this unclassified non-coding RNA (229 nucleotides) under Hevea brasiliensis (rubber tree). Lineage: Eukaryota; Viridiplantae; Streptophyta; Magnoliopsida; Malpighiales; Euphorbiaceae. The record is from RNAcentral.